Molecule: unclassified non-coding RNA, 343 nt
Filed under: soil metagenome
Description: partial contains 5.8S ribosomal RNA, internal transcribed spacer 2, and large subunit ribosomal RNA
Rfam family: 5.8S ribosomal RNA (bases 1-120)
Source: RNAcentral
GAUGAAGAACGCAGCGAAAUGCGAUAAGUAAUGUGAAUUGCAGAAUCCAGUGAAUCAUCGAAUCUUUGAACGCACAUUGCGCCCGCCAGCAUUCUGGCGGGCAUGCCUGUUCUAGCGUCAUUUCAACCCUCGACCUCCCCUUGGGGAGGUCGGCGUUGGGGACCGGCAGCACACCGCCGGCCCUGAAAUGGAGUGGCGGCCCGUCCGCGGCGACCUCUGCGCAGUAAUACAGCUCGCACCGGGACCCCGACGCGGCCACGCCGUAAAACACCCAACUUCUGAACGUUGACCUCGAAUCAGGUAGGACUACCCGCUGAACUUAAGCAUAUCAAUAAGCGGAGGA